RNAcentral lists this ribosomal RNA (517 nucleotides) under uncultured bacterium. Its description in RNAcentral is "bacterial SSU rRNA". It matches the Rfam family "Bacterial small subunit ribosomal RNA", at positions 29 to 518 of the family's 1533-position model. The record is from RNAcentral.
ACGAACGCUGGCGGCGUGCCUAAUACAUGCAAGUCGAACGGUCUUUCUAUGGAAGCUUGCUUCCACUGAGAAGAUAGUGGCGAACGGGUGAGUAACACGUGGGUAACCUGCCCAUAAGAGGGGGAUAACAUCCGGAAACGGGUGCUAAUACCGCAUAGUCUUCUUGAUCGCAUGAUUGAGAAAGGAAAGAUGGCCUCUGUGCUGUCGCUUAUGGAUGGACCCGCGGCGUAUUAGUUAGUUGGUGAGGUAACGGCUCACCAAGACGAUGAUACGUAGCCGACCUGAGAGGGUGAUCGGCCACAUUGGGACUGAGACACGGCCCAAACUCCUACGGGAGGCAGCAGUAGGGAAUCUUCCGCAAUGGACGAAGUCUGACGGAGCAACGCCGCGUGAGUGAAGAAGGGUUUUUCCGGAUCGUAAAACUCUGUUGUCAGAGAAGAACAAGUUGGAGAGUAACUGCUCCAGCCUUGACGGUAUCUGACCAGAAAGCCACGGCUAACUACGUGCCAGCAGCCGC